CCAUGGAAAGAUGAGCUUUGGAUUCCCAGGGAAGGAAGGAGGGAGGCAGCAGGUCUGGAGAGUGAUGACCUUUGGAAGAAGGGGCAGCAAGUCAGGAGGCCAACAAGGAUGUUGGGAGGUCAUGGAGGGAGAAGAUGAGAAGGGCCAAAGCCCAACUAGAACUUAAUGUGGCUAAGGAGGUAAAAGGAAAGCAAAAUGAUUUUUAGAAAUAAUACUGUGGCUGUUUUUUUUUAAUUUGUUGCUGGGGGAACGUAGAGCCAAAGAGUGAGGACAAGCCUGAGGUGCCAGGGGAUGAGGCCCAGCCACGGGGGGUUGUGAGGGUCGGGGCCUGCCUGACCAACCCAGGAUGUUGUUUGUGGCUUGGACAGGCCGUGGUGGCUCAGGAUUGAAACCUUUUGCUCUUCUGGGCCCGGCACUGCCACCAGCACUGGGACAUCAGAGGAGGCGGCUCCGGGAGGGAGGGACGUGGCGGUGGCACUGGCAGGGAGGGACGUGGCGGUGGCACUGGCAGGGAGGGACGUGGUGGGGGCACUGGCAGGCAGGGACGUGGCAGCUCCACCAGGGUCCCAGGAAUCCCCUCAGGCGGGCACGGAGCUUGCCCAGGAAGGCCCGUGGUGCCCAGCCCCGGGCCCUGCCCGGGGGCACCCGCUGCCGGGGUGGGGCCUUGGCUGGGCAGGGUUUGCGCCCACACGGGUUCAGGCGUGGGGAUGCUGCGGGCCAGCUCCAGGAGGCUGCUGCUGCUGCUGCUGCUGCUGCUGUCGGCCUCCAGGGAGUUGGUGAUCACCACUUCCCUGGGGAGGAACCAGGCCAUGGCCGCGGAGCUGCUGCUCUCCAGCUCUGGGGGGCUGCUGCUGUGUCGUCCCGUGGCCUCAUUGUCCUCCUCCCUUCCACUGGCCGUGUCAUUGUCCUCCUCCCUUCCACUGGCCACGUCUGGCCUCUGCACUCGGAGGUGCUGGGGAGAAUUCCCACCCCCCAGCAGUCCCGGCAGCUCCUCCGGCCUCUCAGUCUGGAGCCCCAGGAAGGGCUCCUGUUCCCAUUGCCACUGGGCCAGCUGUGCCUCCAGCUCCCUGUGCUGCUCCUCAAACAGCACCUGGGCGUCCUGGGAGCUCUGGAUGAACCUUGGGAAAUGCCUCCUGGAGCUCAUGGAACUCUGUCGGGAGCUGCCAGGGGACGUGUCUGCCGAUUCCUGCGCCCUGUCCACGCUGCUCUGCUCCUCCGGCUGGGCUCUCACUGCCCUUGGACACCUCCAGUUCUGCAGGAUCCUCUGCAGGAACCACGGAUAGCUGAGACAGGAGCAGCUCCUGGGCCCACCCCACAGCCCCCCACGAUGCUCCACAUGCCACCCCAGCCCACCCCAAACCAACCCAGCCCACAGAGCCGUGCAGAGGCACCUACCCAGAGACGCUUGUCCCGCAGCACGACAGCGACCAGGAGGAGCUGCAGCACCAGGAUCAUGACUGCAACCAGCUCCCCCAUGGUGAACAUGUCCAGGGACCUCAUGGCACCAUCCCUGCCACUCCAGGUCACCAGCACAGGCUGGGGACGAGCUUCCCCAGUGACCUGCGGGGUCCCAGUGAUGGGAUCCCAACACUGCUGGGGUGGCAGAGGCUGAGGUGGUGCCCACCUGCAGUGCCCCGUGUCCUGGGGCCUGUUAUAGCCCUUUGUGACAUCAUGGGGCAGGCAGAGCCCCCUUUGUGACAUCACAGGACAGGCAUGGCCCCUUUUAUGACAUCAUGGGGCAGGAAGAGCCCCCUUUGUGACAUCACAGGUCAGGUGGGGCCCCCUUUGUGACACUGGGAGUUCCCAGGAGCCCCAGGGAGAGCCCUCGCUGCCUCAGGCAGUGACCCUGCAUUCCAGGUUGUCCUGCUCAAACCGUUGGGAUUCCUAAGGUCAGUUGGGUUGUAACAAUUCCAUUUGACAUCACGAAUCUGUUUUCAGCUGCUGUUGGAUCUGUAACUGCUGGGGUUUAACUGGUUCAUCAAAUAAAUCUCUUUUGAAUAGGUGGUUUAUCUCA
RNAcentral lists this long non-coding RNA (2014 nucleotides) under Manacus vitellinus (golden-collared manakin). RNAcentral's name for it is "lncRNA (ENSMVIG00005002181.1)". The record is from RNAcentral. Lineage: Eukaryota; Metazoa; Chordata; Aves; Passeriformes; Pipridae.